ACGCUCGACACCUACGGGAGGCUGCAGUGGGGAAUAUUGCACAAUGGGGGAAACCCUGAUGCAGCGACGCCGCGUGAGCGAAGAAGUAUUUCGGUAUGUAAAGCUCUAUCAGCAGGGAAGAAACUGACGGUACCUGACUAAGAAGCACCGGCUAAAUACGUGCCUGCAGCCGCGGUAAUCUGAGCGGGCUGGCAAGGC
This 198-nucleotide ribosomal RNA is filed under the name uncultured bacterium. Its description in RNAcentral is "partial 16S ribosomal RNA". It matches the Rfam family "Bacterial small subunit ribosomal RNA", at positions 328 to 539 of the family's 1533-position model. The record is from RNAcentral.